UACGUAGGGUGCAAGCGUUAUCCGGAAUUAUUGGGCGUAAAGAGCUCGUAGGCGGUUUGUCGCGUCUGCUGUGAAAACUGGGGGCUCAACCCCCAGCCUGCAGUGGGUACGGGCAGACUAGAGUGCGGUAGGGGAGAUUGGAAUUCCUGGUGUAGCGGUGGAAUGCGCAGAUAUCAGGAGGAACACCGAUGGCGAAGGCAGAUCUCUGGGCCGGUAACUGACGCUGAGGAGCGAAAAGCAUGGGGAGCGAACAGG
Molecule: ribosomal RNA, 255 nt
Filed under: uncultured bacterium
Lineage: Bacteria
Description: partial 16S ribosomal RNA
Rfam family: Bacterial small subunit ribosomal RNA
Source: RNAcentral